UACAGAGGUCCCAAGCGUUGUUCGGAUUCACUGGGCGUAAAGGGUGCGUAGGUGGUGAGGUAAGUCGGAUGUGAAAUCUCCGGGCUCAACCUGGAAACUGCAUUGGAAACUACCUUGCUUGAGGAUUUGAGGGGGGAUUGGAAUACUUGGUGUAGCAGUGAAAUGCGUAGAUAUCAAGUGGAACACCAGUGGCGAAGGCGAAUCCCUGGAAAAUACCUGACACUGAGGCACGAAAGCUAGGGGAGCAAACAGG
Molecule: ribosomal RNA, 253 nt
Filed under: uncultured bacterium
Lineage: Bacteria
Description: partial 16S ribosomal RNA
Rfam family: Bacterial small subunit ribosomal RNA
Source: RNAcentral